Non-coding RNA from Podarcis lilfordi (Lilford's wall lizard), 99 nucleotides. Lineage: Eukaryota; Metazoa; Chordata; Lepidosauria; Squamata; Lacertidae. The record is from the annotation of a GenBank genome assembly.
GUCUUCCUGUGGCACAAUGGGUUGGGGCAUCUGGCUGUUAAUCAGAAGGUUGGUGGUUUGUUAACCAGGAGGUUCGUGGUUUGAGCCCACCCAGGGAUG